AAAACUACAUUUGGUUAAAAAGAUGUGUUUGUAGGUUUUCUACUCUACCAUCAUAUGUGAGGAACUGUCAUAAAAAAAUUCCAACCAAACAACCCUACAGCUUAAAUUGAACUGGAAGUAAAUUCUCUGAAGACGGAUGUUAAUAACUCAGUUUCUUCUGUUGUAAGGAAGAAUACAUUUGAAAUGAAACAGGAUAUUGCUGGAAGUAGAGUGAAAUACAAUUGCAUUUCUAGGAUGUUAGACUUACUUUUCUACUGAACUUCAAGUAUUGAAAAGGUAUGUUUAGUCUCUGAAAUAUAAAGUUAUCUAAAAGGGGUUUUUUGUUACUGCUUUCUGGUUUUAAGCUAUAAAAUGCAAAAAAAUGCUCUAAU
This 371-nucleotide long non-coding RNA is filed under the name Calidris pugnax (ruff). RNAcentral describes it as "lncRNA (ENSCPUG00000011132.1)". Lineage: Eukaryota; Metazoa; Chordata; Aves; Charadriiformes; Scolopacidae. The record is from RNAcentral.